AAUUUUGUAUAUUGUUAACAAGAAAUGAGAAGAUUGAUAGUGUUUUUAGUGUUCUUGUUUUGCUAAAUUUUGUAUAUUGUUAUCAAGAAAUGAGAAGGUCGAUAGUGUUAUUAUGUUCUUGUUUUGCUAAAUUUUGUAUAUUCUUAUCAAGAAAUGAGAAGAUUGACAGUGUUAUUAGUGUUCUUGUUUUGCUAAAUUUUGUAUAUUGUUAUCAAGAAAUGAGAAGAUCGAUUGUGUUAUUAGUGUUCUUGUUUUGCUAAUUUUGUAUAUUAUUGCCAAGAAAGGAGAAGAUGGAUAGUGUUAUUAGUGUUCUUGUUUUGCUAAAUUGUGUAUAUUGUUAUCAAGAAAUGAGAAGAUUGAUAGUGUUAUUAGUGUUCUUGUUUUGCUAAAUUUUGUCAAUUGUUAUCAAGAAAUGAGAAGAUUGAUAGUGUUAUUAGUGUUCUUGUUUUGCUAAAUUUUGUUUAUUGUUAUCAAGAAAUGAGAAGAUUGAUAGUGUUAUUAGUGUUCUUGUUUUGCUAAAUUUUGUUUAUCAAGGAAAUUGAGACAGACUGAUAGUGUUAUUAGUGUUCUUACGUUUUGGUUAAAUUUUGUAUAUUCUUAUCAAGCAAAAUGAGAGGAUUGAUAGUGGUUAUCGAUUUCAUUAUUGAUUUUGCUAAUUUUGAUUAUUCUAUCAAGAAAUGAGAAGAUUGAUAGUAUUAUUUUCUUGGUUUUGCUCAAAAUUUUGUAUAUUGGUUAGUCCAAAAACUGAGAAACUUGAUAAUGUUAUUAGUGUCUUGUUUUGCUAAAUUUUUUUAUAUUGAUUUAUGGAGCAAUGAGAGAUUGAUAGUUUUAUUAGUGUUUCUUGUUUCGCCUAAAUUUUUGUAUAUUGUUAUCAGAAAUGAGAAUUGAUAGAUGUUAUUAUAGUUCUUGUUUUGCAAAUUUGUAUGAUUGUUAUCAAGAAAUGAGAGACUUGAUAAUUGUUAUUAGUGUUCUUGUUUUGCUAAUUGUAUUUGUUAUCGAAGAGAAUGAGAAGAUGAUGAGUGUUAUUAGGUUUGUUUUGCUAUUUCCGUUUUGUACUAGAAAUACAGAUUGUUGUAUAGUCUUGUUAUCAGAAAAUGAAGAAGAUUGAUGUAGGUGUUAUUAGUGUUCUUGUUUUUUGCUAAAUUUUGUAUAUUUUUAUCAAGAAAUGAGAAGUUGAUAUGUUAUUAGUGUUCUUGUUGUUGUUCUAAUUUUUGUAUAUUGUUUAUGAAGAAUGAGAAGAUGAGAGUGUUAUUAGUGUUUCUUGGUUUGCUAUUUUUGUAUUAAUUGUUAUCAAGAAAUGAGAAGAUUUGAUAGUGUUAUUAGUGUUCUUGGUUUUGCUAAAUUGUGUAUAUUGUUAUUCAAGAAAUGAGAAGAUUGAUAGUGUUAUUAGUGUUCUUGUUUUGCUAAAUUUUGUAUAUUGUUAUCAAGAAAUGAGAAGAUGUGAUAAGUGUUAUUAGUGUUCUUGUUUUGCUAAAUUUUUGAUAUUGUUAUCAAGAGAAAUGAGAGAGUUUGAUAGUGUUAUUAGUGAUUCAUUGUUUUGGCUAAAUUUUGUAUAUUGUUAUCAGAAAUAGAAGAGUGAUAGUGUUAUUUAGUGUUCUUUGUUAUCAAGAAACGUUUGACGCUUGACCCUUUAGCAAAAUCUCUCAAAAAUGAAAGGCUUGCAAUGGGGAAUUGCUCCAUGGCUUCUGUUCAUGGUUCAAAAUAAGGAUAUGGAAGAUCACAACCAAGUCGAUGUUAAGUCAUGACGGCACUGUUCGUUGAAUUUAUUGAUGGCUUCGAAGGGCCACACCACUGCUUCCUAUAUUCGUACGCACAUCUUCAGGACUCUAUUAUGUGAGUUAGUAUCUUUAACUUCUUUUUUUAAGCAUACUAAUGUUGUAUAUUGUUAUCGCAAGAAAUGAAGAAGAUUGAUUAGUGUUAUUAGUGUUCCUUGUUUUGCUAAAUUUGAUAUUGUUAGCAAGAAAUGAGAAGAUUUGAUAGUGUUAUUAGUUUCUUCUGUUUUUGCUAAAUUUGUAUAUUGUUAUCAAGAAUGAGAAGAUUGAUUUAGUGUUAUUAGUUUCUUGUUUGCUAAAUUUGUUAUUAUUGUGUAUCAAGAAAUGAGGAAAGACUGAUAGUGUUAUUAGGUGUUCUUGUUUUUGCUUAAAUUUUGGUAUAUUGUUUAUUCAAGGAAAUGAGACAGGAUUGAUAGUGUGAUUAGUGUUCUUGUUUUGCUAAAAUUUUAUAUUGUUAUCAAGAAAUGAGAAGAAUGAUAAUGUUAGUAGUGCUGUCUUGUUUUGCUAAAAUUUUGUAUUUGUUAUCAAGAAAAUGGAGAAAGAUUGAUAGUUGUUAUUAGUGUUCUUAUUGCUAAAUUUUUUAUAUUGAUAUCAAGAAAGAAAUGAGAAGAUUAUAGUGUUAUUUUAGUGUUCUUGUUUUGCUAAAUUGUUGUAUAUUUGUUUAUCAAAGAAAUGAGGAAGAUGAUAGUGGUGUAUUAGUGUUCUUGUUUGCUAAAUUGGUAUAUUGUUAUCAAGAAAAUGAGAAGAUUUGAUAGUGUGAUUAGUGUUCUUGUUUUGCCUAAUUUUGUAUAUUGUGUAUCAAGAAAUGAGAAGUUUGAUAAUGUUAUUAAGUGUUCUUGUUUUGCUAAAUUUUGUAUUAUUCCGUUAUCAAUUAAAUGAAGAAGAUAUAGUGUUAUUAGUGUUCUUUGUUUUGCUAAAAUUUUGCUUUUUGGCAUAUCAAGAAAUGAAGAAGAUUGAUAGUGUAUUUAGUGUUCUGGGUUUUGCUUAAAAUUUUGUAUAUUGUUAUCAAGAAAUGAGAAGAUUGAUAGGUGUUUAUUUGUGUUCUUUGUUUUUUGCUUAAAUUUUAUAUAUUUUAUCAAAGAUAUUCAGAAGAUUGAAGUGUUAUUAGUGUUCUUUGUUUUGCUAAAAUUUUGUAUAUUGUUAUCAAGGGAAAUAGGAAGCGUUUGAUAGUGUUAUUAGGUCUGUUUGUGUUUUAAUUUUGUAUAUUUGUUAUCAAAGAAAUGAGGAAGAUUGAUAGUGUUAAAUUAGUGUUCUUGUUUUGCUAAAUUUUGUAUAUUGUUAUCUUGAAAUAGAAGAUUGCAUGAGUGUUAUUUAGCUGUUUCUUGUUUGGGGCUAAUUUGUAUAUUGUUAUCAAGAAAUGAGAAAGAUUGAUAGUUGUGAUUAGUGUUCUUGUUUUGCUUAAAUUUUGUAUAUGUUAUCAAGAAAUGAGAAGAUUGGAUAAUUGUUUAUUAGUGUUCUUUGUUGCUAAAUUUUGUAUAUUGUUAUCAAAGAAAUGAGAAGGGUGAUAGUUUUAUUAGUGUUUCUUGUUUUGCUAAAUUUUGUAUAUUGUUAUCCAAGAGAUGAGAAGAUUGAUGAGUGUUUAUUUGUGUUCUUGGUAUCAAGAAAACGUUUGACGCUGACCCUUAUUAGCAAAAUCUCUCAAAAAUGAAAAAGCAGUGCAAUGGGGAAUUCUCCAUGGCUUCUGUUCAGUCAAAUAAGGAUAUGGAAGAUCACAAACCAAGUCGGAUGUAAGUCAUGACGCCACUGUUCGGUUUUGAAUUUAUGAUCGGCUUCGUAAGGCCACACCACUGCUUUCCUAUAUUCGUACGCACAUCUUCAGGACUGUUAUUAUGUGAGUUAUAUCUUUACUUCUUUUUUUUAGCAUACUAAUGUCGUAUAUUGCGUUAUCAAGAAAAUGAGAAGAUUGAAUAGUGUGAAAUUAGUGUUCUUUUUUGCUAAAUUUUUGUAUAUGUUAUCAGAAAUGAGGAAAGAUUGAUAGUGUUAUUAGUGUUUCUUGUUUUGCUAAAUUUUGCUUAUAUUUGUUAUCAAAAGAAAAUUUGAAGCAUUGAUUAGUGUUAUGGGAGGUUCUUGUUUGCUAAGUUUGGUAUUAUUUGUUAUCAAGAAAUGAGGGGAAAGAUUGAUAGUGUGAUUAGGUGUUCUUGUUUGCUAAAUUUUGUUGAUAUGUGUUAUCAAGAAAUGAGAAGAUUGGAUAAUGUUAUUAGUGUUUCUUGUUUUGCUAAAGUUCUGUAUAUCGUUUAUCAAUAAAUUGAGAAAGAUUGAUAGUGUUAUUAGUUUGUUCUUGUUUUUAUGCUAAAUUUUGAUAGGAUUGUAUCAAGAAAUUGGAGAAGAUUGGAUAGUGUUAUUAGUUGUUUUGUUUUGGCCUAAAUCUUGUAUAUUGUUAUCAAGAAAUUGAGGAGAAGCAUUGAUAGUGUUAUUUGUGUUCUUGUGUUUGCCUAAAAUUUUAUCUAUAUGUUUAUCAAAAAAAUCAGAAGCAUUUGCGCAUAGUGUUACUUUAGUUUCUUGUUUUGCUAAAUUUGAUAUUGUUUAUCAAGAAAAUAGGCCAAAGGCUUGAGUUUAGUGUUAUUAGUGUUCUUAUUUGUGACUUUUUAAUUUUGUAUAUUGUUAUCAAGAAAGGAAAGAAGAUUGAUAGUGUUAUUAGUGUUCUUGUUUUGCUAAAUUUGUUAUAUUGUUAUCAAGAAUGAGAAGAUUGAUAGUGUUAUUAGUGUGUUUCUUGUUUUGCUAAAUUUUGUAUAUUGUUAUCAAGAAAUGAGAAGAAUUGAUAGUGUUCGUGUUGAUUAGUGUUCUUUUUUGCCUAAAUUUUGUAUAUGUUAUCAAGAAAUGAGAAGAUUUUGAUAAUGUUAUUAGUGUUCUUGUUUGUGCCUUAAAAUUUUGGUAUGAUUGUUUAUCAAAGAAAUGAAGAAAGAUGAUAGUGUUAUUAGUGUUCUUGUUUUGCUAAAUUUUGUAUAUUGAUAUCCAAGAAAUGAGAAAGAUUGAUAGUGUGAUUAGUGUUCUUGUUUUGCUAAAUUUGCUAUUAUUGUUAUCAAGAAAUGAGAAGAUUGAUAAUGUUUAUUAGUGUUUUCUUGUUUUGCUAAAUUUGGUAUAUUUUAUCAAGAAAUGAGGAAGAUUUAUUUAGUGUUAUUAAGUGUUCUUGUUUUUGCUAAAAUUUUGUAUUAUUAUUAUCAAGAAAUGAGAAGGUGAUAGUGUUAUUAGUGUUCUUGCUUUUGCAAAAUUUUGUAUAUUGUUAUCAAGAAAUGAGAAGAUUGAUAGUGUUGUUAUGAGUGUUCUUAGUUAUUCAUGAAACGGUUGACGCUGACCCUUUAGCCAAAAAAUCUCUCAAAAAUGAAAAGGCAUUGCCAUAGGGAAUUCUCCAUGGGCUUUACUAUUCAGUCAAAUAAGAUAUGGAAGAUCACAACCAAGUCUAGGUAAAGUCAUGACGCACUGUUCGUUUGGAAUUUCAUUGAUUGGCUUCAAAGGGCCACACGACUGACUUCAAGAUACGUACGCACAUCUUUAGGGACUCUAUUACGUGAGUUAUUUUUUGGCUUCUUUUUUCUUAGCAUACUAAUAUACGUCUAAAUAUGUUAUCUAAAAGAAUGAGAAAAGAUUUGAAUAUUGUUACUAUGUUAAUUAUAGCUAACUUUGCAUCCUAAUUUGUCAUAUUGUACAAGAAAGAGAAAGAUAGAUCCGUAGUAAAACCCUUGAGUUGUGUCGUGUUUUGUCUUGAGAUUUUCCUGUAUUAUAAUGUCAUCAAGAAAUGGAGGAAGAUGAAUAGUGUGAUUUGAUGUUCUUCAGUUUUAGUCUAAAAUUUUUUUAUAUUACUGGUUACAAGGAGAAUGAAGAAAAGAUAUUGAUAUGUUCAUAGUGUCCGUAUCUUCUGUUCUGUUGCUAAAUUUAUGGUUAUACUAUGUUAUCAAUAGAAAAUGAGAAGAUGAUAGUGUAUUAUUCGUCUCCUUUGUUUUGAAACUCAUAAUAUUUAUAUGUAUAUCAGAGAAAAUCGAGAUAAUUGAUGAGUGGAUUAUAUUCGUUGUUUUGCAAACUUUGUGAUAAUUGUGUUAGUCAAGAAAUGAGUGAAGAUUGAUAUGUGUAUUAGUGUUCUUGUUUUGCUAACCAUUGUAUAUUAUAUCUACAGAGGAAUGAAAGGAUUGAUAAAUGUUAUUAGUGUCUUGUUGGUAAAAUUUGUAAUAUAUGUUAUCAAGAAAUGAGAAGAUUGAAUAGUGUUUUAUUUAGUGUUCUUGUUUUUCGCUAAAUUGUUGUAUAUUGAUAUCAAGAAAUAGGAAGGUGAUAGUGUUCAUUAGGUUCUUGUUGUAAUUUUUGUAUAUUGUUAUGAAGAAAUGAGAAGUAUGAUAGUGUUAUUAGUGUUCUUGUUUGCUAAAUUUUGUAUAUUGUGUAUCAAGAAAUGAGAAGAUUGAUAAGUGUUAUUAGUGUUCUUGUUUUGCUAAAUUUUUGUAUAUGUUAUCAAGAAAGAAUGAGAAGAUUGAUUAGUGUAUUUAGUGUUUCUUGUUUUGCUAAGUUUGUAAUAUUGUUAUCCAAGAAAUGAGAAACUUUGAUUAAUGUUAUGUUAGUAUGUUCUUGUUUUGCUAAAUUUUGUAUAUAUUGUUAUCAAGAAAGAGAAGGUAUGAUAGUGUAUUUAGUGUUCUUGUUUUGCUAAAUUUUUGUAUAUUGCGUAUCAAGAAAUGAGAAGAUUGAUAGUGUAUUAGUGUUACUUGUUAUCAAGAAACGUUUGACGCUGAGCCCUUUAGCAAAAUCUCUCAAAAAUGAAAGGCAUUUCGCCAUGGGGAAUUCUCCAUGGCUCUGUUCAGUCAAAUAAGAUUGAAGAUCACACAAGUCGAAUGUAAGUCAUGACCAACUGUCGUUUGAUUUAUGAGCUGAAGGCCAACCCACUGCUUCCUAUAUCUACGCACUCUCAGACUCAUAGUUCAUUCUUUAGCUUCUUUUUUUUAAGGCGAACUGAUUGUGUAAUGUUAUGCAAGAAUGAGAAAGCUGAUAGGUUAUUAGUGUUCUUGUUUGCUAAAUUGUGUAUUUGUUAUAGAGAAUGAGAAAAAAAUUAGUGUUAUUUAGUUGGUUCUUUUUUCGUAAAUUUUGUAUAUUGUUAUCAAGAAAUGAGAAGAUUUGAUAGUGUUAUUAGUGUCUUGUUUUGCUAAUUUGUAUAAAUUGUUAAUCCAAGGAAAUGAGAAAGAUUGAUAGUUAUAGUGUUCUUGUUUUGCUAAAUUUUGUAUUUGAGUUUAUCAAGAAAUGAGAAGAUUGAUAAUGUUAUUAGUGUUCUUGUUUUCUAAAUUUUGUAUAUCGUUAUCAAUAAAAUGAGAAGAUUGAUAGUGUUAUUAGUGUUCUUGUUUUUGCUAAAUUUUGUAUAUUUGAUAUCAAGAAAUGAGAAGAUUGAUAGUGGUAUAGUGUUCUUGUUUUGCUAAAUUUUGUAUAUGUUCAUCAAGAAAUGAGAAGAUUGAUAUUUUAUUUGUGUUCUUGUUUUGCUAAAUUUGUAUAUUAUUGUUAUCAAAAACGAAGAAAUAAUGUGUGUUAUUAGUGUUCUUGCUUUUCGCUUUAAUUUAUGUUAUUGUUAUUCAAGAAAUAGAAGUUGAUAGUGUUAUUAGGUGUUCUUGUUUUGUAACAUUUCUAAUUUGUAUAUUGCUUAUUCAAGAAAUGCAGGAAGAUUUGAUAGCUGUUAUUAGUGUUCUUGGUUUUUGACUAAAUUUUGUAUAUUGUUAUCAAGAAAUGAGGAAGCAUUGAUUAGUGUUAUUAGUGUUCUUGUUUUGCAAAUUUUGUAUAUGGUUAUCAAAGAAAUGAGAAGAUUGAUAGUGUGAUUAGUGUCUUGUUGUGCCUAAAUUUUGUAUAUUGUUAUCAAGAAAAUUGAGGAAGAUUGCAUAAGUUAUUAAUGUUCUUGUUUUUGCUUAAAUUUUGUAUAUUGUUAUCAAGCAAAUGAGAAGAUUGCAUAGUGUUAGUAGCUGUUCUUAUUUUGCCUAAAUUUUGUAUAUGAUCAAAGAAGAUUGAGAGAUUGAUAGUGUUAUGAGUGUUCUUGUUGUGCCUAAAUUUUGUUAUAUUGUUAUCAAGAAAAUGAGAAGGAUUGAUAACGUGUUAUUAGUGUUUCUUGUUUUGCCCUAAAUUUGUACAUUGUUAUCAAGAAAUGAGGAGAUUGAUAUGUUAUUAGGGUUCUUGUUUGGCUAAAUUUUGUAUAUUGUUAUCAAGGGAAAAUGAGAAGAUGUUGAUAGUUGUUAUUAGUGUUCUUGUUUUUGCUAAGUUGUAUAUUUUAUCAAAGAAAUGCAGAAGAUUGGAUUAGUGUUGAUUAGUGAUUCUUGUUUUCGCUUAAAUUUGGUAUAUUGUUUAUCAAAAACAUGAGAAGAUUGAUAAUGUUAUUAGUGGUUCUUGUUUUGCUAAAUUUUGUAUUAUGUUAUCAAGAGAAUAGGAGAAGAUUUGAUAGUGUUAUUAGUGUUCUUGUUUUGCUAAAAUUUUGUAUAUUGAUUAUCAAAAAUGAGAAGGAUUGAUAGGUUAUUAGUGUUCUUGUUUUUGCUAAAAUUUUGUAUAUUUGAUUAUCAAGAAAUGGGGAAGAUUGAUAUUGUAUUAUUGUAUCUUGGUUUUGCUAAAUUUUUCUUUAUUGUUAUCAAGAAAAUCAGAAGAUUGAUAGUGUUAUUUGUGGUUCUUGCUUUUUUGCUAAAUUUUUGUAUGAUUGUUAUCCAAGAAAGAGAGAAUUGAUAGUGUUAUUAGUUGUUCCUUGUUUUGCUAUAAUUUUGUAUAUUGUUUAUCAAGAAAUCAGAAGCUUGAUGUGUUAUUAGUCGUUCUUGUUUUUGUUAAUUUUGAUAUAUUGAUUAUCAAGAAAUGAGGAAAGAUUGAUAGUGUUAAUUUAGUGUUUUUCUUUUUGCUAAAUAUUGUUAGUAUUGGUUAUCAGGAAAUGAGAAGAUUGAUAGUGUUAUUAGUGUUCUUUUUUUGCAAAAAUUUUGUUUAUUUUAGUUUCGAAAAUGAGAAGAUGUUAGUGAUAUUAUGUUCUUGUUUUUGCUAAAAUUUUGGUUAUAUUUUGUUAUCAAAGAAAUUGGAAAAGAUUGAUUAUUUUGUUAUUAGUGUUUCUUGUUUUGCUAAAAUUUUUGUAUAUUUGGUAUUUUCAAAAAAAGGGAAAUGAGGAAAGGUGUGAUUAAGUGCUUAUUUUAGUUGUUUCCUUGUUUUGGCUUUAAAAUUUUUGGGUUUGUAUUUAUUGGUUUUAAUUCAAAAAAAAAGGGAAAAUUUUGAGGGGGGAAGAUUUUGGAUGUUUUUUUUUUUCCCCCUCCCUCCCUUUUUUUUCCCCGGNAGAAAUGAGAAGAUUGAUAGUGUUAAGUGUUCUAGUUUUGAUCAAAAUUUUGUAUAUUGUUAUCAAGAACAAUGAGAAGGAUGUGAUAGUGUUAUUAGUGAUUCUCUUGUUAUUUGCUAAAUUUUUUGUAUAUUCGUUAUCAAGAAACGAGAAGAUUGAUAGUGUAUUAGUGUUUGUUUGUUUGCUUCAAAUUUUCGUAUUAUUGGUUAUCCAAGAAAUGAGAAGAUUGAUAGUGUAUAUUAGUGUCUUGUUUUCGUAAAUUUGUAUAUUGUUAUCAAGAAAUGAGAAGAUUGAUAUUGUUUUAUUAGUUUUCUUGUUUUGCUAAAUUUUGUAUAUUGUUAUCAAGAAAGAGAAAGAAUAAGUGUUAUUAGUGUUCUUGUUUUGCGAAAUUUUGUAUAUUGUUAUCAAGAAAUGAGAAGAUUGAUAGGCGUUAUUAGUUCUUGUUUUGCCUAAAAUUUGUAUAUUGUUAUCAAGAAAUGAGAAGAUUGAUAGUAUUAUUAGUGUUCUUGUUUUGCUAAAUUUUGUAUAUUGUUAUCAAGAAAUGAGCAGAUUGAUAGUGUUAUAGUUUCUUGUUUUGCUAAAUUUUUAUAUUAUUAUCAGAAAUGAGAAGUGAUAGUGUUUUAUGUUUUGCUUUUGCCUAAAUUAUUGCAAUAUUGUUAUCAAGAAAUGAGAAGCAUAUAGUUAUAUUAUUCUUGCUGAUCAAGUAAACUUACGUGGACAGCAGAUUCAAAAUAGCAUUCAUGCGAUACGUUCCAUGCUCUGUUAGCAAUGAAUGGAUAACUGUGUAAUCUGAAUGUUCGUUUGAAUUAAUGAUGGCUUCGCCAAAUCAUUGUUCUAUAUUGACGCCACAUCAGGGAACGAUAUAGUGAGUUAUUCAUUUGCUUCUUGUUUCUAUAAUAUAAUGCUGUAUUAUUGUUAUCAAGAAAUGAGAAGAUGAUAGUGUUAUUAGGUUUCUUGGUUUUGCUAAAUUUUGUAUUGAUUGCUUAUUCAGAAAUGAGAAGAAUUGAUAAGUGUGAUUAGUGUUCUUGUUUUGCUAAAUUUUGUAUAUUGGUAUCAAGAAUGAGAAGAUUGCAUAUGUUAUUAGUCCUUCUUGUUUUGCCUAAAUUUUGUGUAUAUAUGUUAUCAGAGAAAUGAGAGGUUGAUAGUGUUAUUAGUGUUCUUGUUUGCUAAAUUUUUGUAUAUUGUUAUCAGAAAUGCAGAAGCAUUUUGAUAGUGUUAAUUGACUGUUCUUGUUAUCAAGAAACGUUGACGCUUGACCCUUUAGCAAAAUUCUCAAAAAUGAAAGGCAUUGCCAUGGGGAAUUCUCCAUGGCUUUCUUUUAAGUCAAUAAGGAUAUGGAAGCAUCACAACCAAGCUCGAUGUAUUUCUAAGUGUCAUUGACACACUGUUCGUUUGAAUUAAUGAUGGCGCUUCAAAGCCACCACCACUGCUUCCUAUAUUCGUACGCACAUCUUAGCGACUCUUAUUACGUGAGUUAUUUCUUUGCUUCUUUUUUUGCUAAAUUGGUAUAUUGUUAUCAAGAAAUCGAGAAGAUUGAUAGUUGUUAUUGGUUAUUGUUUCAAAUGUUUUGUUCAGGUAAUUGAGAGAUUGAUAAAUAGGUUUGUUGUUCCAAUUGUAUAUUGUUAUCAAGAAAUGCAGAAGAUUGAUAGGUUAUUAGUGUUCUUGGUUUUUCUAAAUAUGUCGUAUAUUUUGUCAAGAAAUGAGAAGAUUUGGAUUAGUGUAUACUUCUUGUUGCAUUCUUGUAUAUUGUCAGAAAUAGAGAAGAUUUAUGUUUUAUGUUCUUUAAUUGUUAUUUUUAUCAAGAAAUGAGAAGGUUGCAUAGUGUUAUCUAGUGUUCUUGUUUGCCUAAUAUUUGUAUAUUGUUAUAAAGAAAUGCAAAGAUUGAUAGUGUUAUUAGUGUUCUUGUUUUGCUAAAUUUUGUAUAUUGUUUAUCAAAAGAAAUGAUGAAGAUUGGUAGGUUAUUAGUGUUCUUGCUUUGAUGAAUUUGUUAUAUUCGUUGAUUCAAGAAAUGAGGAAGAUUGAUAGUGUUAUUAGUGUUUCUUGUUUUGACUAAAUUUUGUUUAUUGUUAUCAAGAAACGACAGAAGAUUGAUAGUGUAUUGGUGCUUCUUGUUUUGCUUAAAUUUUGUAUAUUGUAUCAUCUAACGCAAAUGCAGAAGACUUGAUAGUUUAAUUAGUGUUCUUGUUUUCUAAAUUUUUGUAGUAUGUUAUCAAAGAAAUGAGAAGAUUGAUAGUGUUAUGUAGUUUCGUUGUUUGACUAAAUUUAGUAUAUAAGUUAUCACAGAAAAUGAGAACGUUGAUAGGUUAUAGUGUUCUGUUUUGCUAAAUUUUUGUAUAUGCUUAUAUCUAAGAAAUGAAAGAUUGAUAGUGUUAUUAGUGUUCUGUUAUCAAGAAACAUUUAGACGCUGACCCUACCAAAACUCUCCUCCAAAAUGAAAGCUUUUCAUGCGGAAUUCUCCAUGGCUUCUGUUUAAGUCAAAUAAGAUAAUGGAAGAUUCACAACAUAGCGAUGAUAAAGCGCAUGACGCAUUUCGUCUCGUGAAUUUAUGGAAGGCUUCAAGCCACAACCAUGCUGCUCCUAUAUCCGUACGCACACUUUAGGCACUCUAUUAACGUGGAGUUAUUUUUUUGCUUCUUUUUUCCUUAGCAAACUUACUGAAUAUGUUAUCGUAAGAAAUGAAAAGAUUGAUAGUCGCUUAUUAGCUGCUUCUUGUUUUUGCUAAAUUUUGCUAUAUGUUUAUAAGAAAUCGAGAAAUUGAUAGUGUUUAUUACGUAGUGUUCUGUUUUGCUAAAUUUGAUUAUAUGUUAUAUCGGAAGAAAUGAUGAAUGAUGAUAGAGUGUUUAGUUUUACUGUUAUUGCUAAAAUUUGUAAUAUUGAUAAGAAUGCAGAAGAAUUGAAGUGUGGCUAUUAGUGAUUACGUCUGUUUGUCUAAAUUUUGUAUAUUGUUAUUCAGAAAGAGAGUAAGAUAUGUAUUAGUGUUAUUAGUGCUUCUUGAUUUUUUUAUUUUGAUGAAUUUGUAUAUUGUUAUCAAGAAAUGAGAGAUUGAUAGUGUUAUUAGGUGUGCUUGUUUUACUAAAUUUUGCUAUAUUGUUAUCAAGAAACGAGAAGAUUGAUAGUGUUAUGGUCGUUCCUUGCUUUUUCUAAAUUUGUAUAUUGUUAUCAAGAAAUAGAAGAUGAUACGUGUUAUUAGUGUUCCUUGCUUUUGCCUAAAUUUUGUAUAUUGUAUAUCAAGAAAUUGAGAAAUUGAUAGUGUUAUAGUCUUCUUGUUUGCUAAAUUUUGUAUAUUAUUUCAAGAAAUGAGAAGGUUGAUGUAGUGUUUUAGUGUCAUAGUUUUGCCUAAAAUAUUGUAUAUUUUAUCAAGCAAAAUGAAGUAAGAUUGCAUAGUGUUAUUAGUGUUCUUAGUUAUCAAGAAAAACGUUUGACCUGCACCAGUUAGCUGAAAAUCUCUCAAAAAAUGAAGGCGUUGCCAUUGGGGAAUUCUUCCAUUGGCUUCUUUUAAGUCAAAUAAGGAUAUGCGAAGCCAUCACAACCAAGUCGCAUGUAAGCCAUGACGCACUAGUUCGUUUUGAAUUUAUGAUGGCUUCAAAGGCCACACCAUUGCUUGCCUAUAUUCGUACGCCCACAAUCUUUAGCGAAAACUCUAUUAAGUGGAGUUAUUUCUUUGCUUCUUCUUUUUCUUAGCAUACUAUCUGUAUAUUGAUUAUCAAGAAAAAUGCCCAGAAGAUUGCAUAGUGUUAUUAGUGCUCCUUGUUUUGCUAAUUUUGUUAUAUAUUUAAUCAAGAAAUGAGAAGAUUGAUUACUGUUAUUACUGUUCUUGUUUUGCUAAAUUUUUGUAUAUUGUUAUCAAGAAAUGCAGAAGAUGAUAGUGUUAUAGUGUUCUUGUUUUGCAUUGAAUUUUAGUAUAUUGUUAUCAGAAAUGAGCAAAGAUUGAUAGUGUUAUUAGUGUUUCUUGUUACUAAAUUAUUUAUAUAUUGGUUUAUCAGAAAACGCAGAGAUGCAUAGUGUUAUUAGUGUUCUUGUUUUGCUAAAUUUUGUAAUCUUGCUUUAUCAAGAAAUGAGAAGCCAUUGCAUAGUGUUAUUAGUGUUCUUUGUUAUCAAGAACACGUGUUGCACGCUGACCCAUUUAGCAAAAUCUCUCAAAAAUGAAGGCGUUGCCAUGGCGGGAAUUCUCCAUGGCGCAUCUUCUUUUAAGUCAAUAAGGAUAUGGAAGAUCACAACCAAGGUCGACUGUAAGCCCAUGACGCCACUGUCGUUUGAAUUUAUGAUGGCUUCAAAGCCACACCAAUUGCUUCCUAUAUCCGUACGCCACAUCUUCUAGGACUCUAUUAAGUGAGUUAAGUUAUUUCUGGUUAUUUUGCCUUACUUUUUUCUUAGCCAUACUUAUCUGUUAUAUUGUUAUUCAAGAAAAUGAGGAAGAUUGAUAGCUGUAUUAGUGUCCCUUGUUUUGCUAAAUAUUUGCUAUAUUAUAUCAAAGUCAAAUGAGGAAGAUGAUAGUGUUAUUACUGUUCUUGUUUGCUAAAAUUAUGUAUAUUGUUAUAAAGAAAUGAGAAGAUUGAUAGUGUAUUAGUGUUCUAAUUUUGCUAUAUUAAGCUUAUCAAGAAAUGAAAGAAGAUGAUAGUGUUAUUCAGUGCUUCUGCUUUUACUAAAUUUGUUAAUUGUUAUCAAGAAACGCAGAAGAUUGAUAUGCUUAUUAGUGUUCUUGUUUUGCCUAAAAUAUUGCAAAUGAAAGGCAUUGCCAUGGGGAAUUCUCCAUGGCUUCUAUUCAGUCAAAUAAGGAUAUGGAAGAUCACAACCAAGUCGAUGUAAGCCAUGACGCACUGUUCAUUUGAAUUUAUGAUGGCUUCAAAAGCCACACCACUACUUCCUAUAUCCGUACGCACAUCUUUAGGACUCUAUUACGUGAGUUAUUUCUUUGCAUCUUUUUUCUUAUCAUACUUAUCUGUAUAUUGUUAUCAAGAAAUGAAAAGAUUGAUAGUGUUAUUAGUGUUUUUGUUUUGCUAAAUUAUGUAUAUUGUUAUCAAGAAAUGAGAAGAUUGAUAUUGUUAUUAGUGUUCUUGUUUUGCUAAAUUUUGUAAAUUGUUAUCAAGAAAUGAGAAGAUUGGUCGUGUUAUUAGUGUUCUUCUUUUGCUAAAUUUUGUAUAUUAUUAUCAAGAAAUGAGAAGCUUGAUAGUGUUAUUAGUCUUCUUGUUUUGCUAAAUUUUGUAUAUUAUUAUCAAGAAAUGAGAAGGUUGAUAGUGUUAUUAGUGUUCUUGUUUUGCUAAAUUUUGUAAAGAGAGAGAUUAACUCUAUUAUGUGAGUGUAUUCUUGCCUCGUUUUUUUCUUGAGCAAUAUCUAUCUGUAUAUUGUAUCCAAGAAAUGAGAAAGAUUGAUAGUGUUUAUUGUGUUCUUGUUUGCUAAAUUUUAUAUAUUUGUUAUCAAAGAAAUGAGAAGAUUGAUAGUGUUAUUAGGUUCUUGUUUUGCUAAAUUUGUAUAUUGUUAUCAGAAAUGAGAAGAUUGAAGUGUUAUUAGUGUUUUUUGUUUUGAAAUUUUGUAUAUUGUUAUCAAGAAAUGAGAAGAUUGAUAGUGUUAUUAGUGUUCUUGUUUUGCUAAAUUUUUUAUAUUGUUAUCAGAAAGAGAAGAUUGAUAGUGUUAUUAGUGUUCUUGUUUUGCUAAUUUUUGUAUAUUGUUAUCAAGAAAUGAGAAGAUUGAUAGUGUUAUUAGUGUUCUUGUUUUGUAAAUUUUGUAUAUUGUUAUCAAGAAAUGAGAAAUUGAUAGUGUUAUUAGUGUUCUUGUUAUCAAGAAAUGUUUGACGCUGACCCUUUAAGAAUCUCUCAAAAAUGAAAGGCAUUGCAUGGGAAUUCUCCAUGGCUUUUUGUUCAGUCAAAUAAGGAUAUGGAAGAUCACAACAGUGAUGUAAGUCAUGACGCCUGUUCUUUUGAAUUUAUGAUGGCUUCAAAGGCCACACCACUGCUUCCUAUAUCGUACGCACAUCUUUAGGACUCUUUUACGUGAGUUAUUUUUUGCUUCUUUUUUCUUAGCAUACUAAUCUGUGUAUAUUGUUAUCAAGAAAUGAGAAGAUUGAUAGUGUUAUUAGUGUUCUUGUUUUGCUAAAUUUUGUAUAUGUUAUGCAAAGAAAUGAGAAGAUUGAUAGUGUUAUUAGUGUUCUUGUUUGCAAAAUUUGUAUAUUGUUAUCAAGAAAUGAAAAGAUUGAUAGUGUAUAGUGUUCUUGUUUGCUAAAUUUUGUAUAUUGUUAUCAGAAAUGAGAAGAUUGAUAUGUUUUAUUAGUGUUCUUGUUUUGCUAAUUUUGUAUAUUGUUAUCAAGAAAUGAGAAGAUUGAUAGUGUUAUUAGUGUUCUGUUUUGCUAUUUUGAAUAUUGUAUCAAGAAAUGAGAAGAUUGAAAGUGUUAUAGUGUUCUUGUUUGCUAAAUUUUGUAUUUUUAUCAAGAAAUGAGAAGAUUGAUAGUGUUAUUUGUGUUUUUGUUUUGCUAAAUUUUGUAUAUUGUUAUCAAGAAAUGAAGAUUGAUAGUGUUAUUAGUGUCUUGUUUUGCUAAAUUUUGUAUAUUGUUAUCAAGAAAUAGGAAGGUUGAUAGUGUUAUUAGUGUUUCUUGUUUGCUAAUUUUGUAUAUUGUUAUCAAGAAAUGAGAAGAUUGAUAGUGUUAUUAGUGUUCUUGUUAUCAAGAAACGUUUUGACGCUGACCCUUUAGCAAAAUCUCUCAAAAUGAAAGGCAUUGCCAUGGGGAAUUCUCCAUGGCUUUUAUUCAGUCAAAUAAGGAUAUGGAAGAUCACAACCAAGUCGAUGUAAGCCAUGCCGCACUGUUCGUUUGAAUUUAUGAUGGCUCAAAGGCCACACCACUGCUUCCUAUAUCGUACGCACAUCUUUAGACUCUAUUAUGUGAGUUAUUUCUUUGCUCUUUUUCUUAGCAUACUAUCUGUAUAUUUUUCAAGAAAUGAGAAGAUUGAUAGUGUUAUUGUGUUCUUGUUUUGCUAAAUUUUUUGUUAUUUAUCAAGAAAUGAGAGAUUGAUAGUGUUAUUAGGUUCUUGUUUUGCUAAAUUUUGUAUAUUGUUAUCAAGAAAUGAGAAGAUUGAGUGUUAUUAGUGUUUUUUGUUUUGUAAAUUUGUAUAUUGUUAUCAAGAUGAGAAGAUUGAUAGUGUUAUUAGUGUUCUUGUUUUGCUAAAUUUUGUAUAUUGUUAUCAAGAAAGAGAAGAUUGAUAGUGUUAUUAGUGUUCUUGUUUUCUAAAUUUUGUAUAUUGUUAUCAAGAAAUGAGAAGAUUGAUAGUGUUAUUAGUGUUCUUGUUUUGAUAAAUUUUGUAUAUUGUUAUCAAGAAAUGAGAAAUAUUGAUAGUGUUAUUAGUGUUCUUGUUAUCAAGAAACGUUUGACGCUGACUCCUUUAGCAAAAAUCUCUCAAAAUGAAAGGCAUUGCCAUGGGGAAUUCUCCAUGGCUUCUGUUCAGUCAAAUAAGGAUAUGGAAGAUCACAACCAAGUCGAUGUAAGUCAUGACGCACUGUUCUUUAAUUUAUGAUGGCUUCAAAGCCACACCACUGCUUCCUAUAUUCGUACGCACAUCUUUAGGAUUUUAUUACGUGAGUUAUUUCUUUGCUUCUUUUUUCUUAGCAUACUAAUCUGUAUAUUGUUAUCAAGAAAUGAGAAGAUUGAUAGUGUUAUAGUGUUCUUGUUUUGCUAAAUUUGUAUAUUGUUAUCAGAAUAAUGGAAGAUUGAUAGUGUUAUUAGUGUUCUUGUUUUGCUAAAUUUUUGUAUAUUGUUAUCAAGAAAUGAGAAGAUUGAUAGUGUAUUAGUGUUCUUGUUUUGCUAAUUUUUUGAUAUGUAUCAAGAAAUGAGAAGAUUGAUAGUGUUUAUAGUGUUCUUGUUUGCUAAAUUUUGAUAUUGUUAUCAAGAAAUGAGAAGAUUGAUAGUGUUAUUGUGUUUUGUUUGCUUAAAUUUUGUAUAUUGUUAUCAAGAAAUGAGAAGAUUGAUAGUGUAUUAGUUGUCUUUUUGCUAAAUUUUGUAUAUUGUUAUCAAGAAAUAGAAGUUGAUAGUGUUAUUAGUGUUCUUGUUUGCUAAUUUUGUAUAUUGUUAUCAAGAAAUGAGAAGAUUGAUAGUGUAUAGUGUUAUUAGUNNNNNNNNNNUAGUUAUUGUAUGCAAAAAUGAGAAGAUUGAUAGUGUUAUUAGUUUUCUUGUUUUGUAAAUUUUGUAUAUUGUUAUCAAGAUGAGAAGAUUGAUAGUGUUAUUAGUGUUCUUGUUUUGCUAAAUUUUGUAUAUUGUUAUAAGAGAGAAGAUUGAUAGUGUUAUUAGUGUUUUAUGAUAGUGUUAUUAGUGUUCUUGUUAUCAAGAAACGUUUGACGCUGACCCUUUAGCAAAUUCUCUCAAAAAUGAAAGGCAUUGCCAUGGGGAAUUCUCCAUGGCUUCUAUUCAGUCAAAUAAGGAUGUGGAAGAUCACAACCAAGUCGAUGUAUGUCAUGACGCACUGUUCAUUUGAAUUUGUGAUGGCUUCAAAGGCCACACCACUACUUCCUAUAUUCGUACGCACAUCUUUAGGACUCUAUUACGUGAGUUAUUUCUUUGCUUCUUUUUUCUUAGCAUACUACUAUGUAUAUUGUUAUCAAGAAAUGAGAAGAUUGAUAGUGUUAUUAGUGUUCUUGUUUUGCUAAAUUUUGUAUGUUGUUAUCAAAAAAUAAGAAGAUUGAUAGGGUUAUUAGUGUUCUUGUUUUGCUAAAUUUUGUAUAUUGUUAUCAAGAAAUAAGAAGAUUGAUAGUGUUAUUAGUGUUCUUGUUUUGCUAAAUAUUGUAUAUUGUUAUCAAGAAAUGAGAAGCUUGAUAGUGUUAUUAGUCGUCUUGUUUUGCUAAAUUUUGUAUAUUAUUAUCAAGAAAUGAGUAGAUUGAUAGUGUAUUAGUGUUCUUGUUUUGCUAAAUUUGUAUAUGUUAUCAAGAAAUGAGAAGAUUGAUAUGUUAUUAGUGUUCUUGUUUUGCUAAAUUUGUAUAUUGUUAUCAAGAAAUGAGAAGAUUGAUAGUGUUUAUUAGUGUUCUUGUUUUGCUAAUUGUAUAUUGUUAUCGAAGAUGAAAGAUUGAUAUGUUAUUAGUGUUCUUGUUUUGCUAAAUUUUGUAUAUUGUUAUCAAGAAAUGAGAAAGAUUGAUAGUGUUAUUAGUGUUCUUGUUUGCUAAAUUUUGUAUAUUGUUAUCAAGAAAUGAGAAGAUUGAUAGUGUUAUUAGUGUUCUUGUUUUGCUAAAUUUGUUAUAUGUUAUCAAGAAAUGAGAAGAGUAUAGUGUUAUUAGUGUUCUUGUUUGCUAAAUUUUGUAUAUUGUUUCAAGAAAUAGAAGAUUGAUAGUGUAUUAUGUUCUUGUUUUGCUAAAUUUUGUAUAUUGUUAUCAAGAAAUGAGAAGAUUGAUAGUGUUAUUAGUGUUCUGUUUUUGCUAAUAUUGUAUAUUGUUAUCAAGAAAUGAGAGAAGAUUGAUAGUGUUAUUAGUUUCUGUUUUGCUAAAUUUUGUAUAUUGUUAUCAAAGAAUGAGAAGAUUGAUAGUUUAUAUGUUCUUGUUUUGCUAAAAUUUGUAUAUUGUUAUCAAGAAAUGAGAAAGAUUGAUAGUGUUAUUGUGUUCUUUUUUUCUAAAUUUUGUAUAUUUUUAUCAGAAAUGAGAAGAUGAUAGGUUAUUAUGUUCUGUUUUGCUAAAUUUGUAUAUUAUACAAGAAAUGAGAGAUUGUAGUGUAUUAGUGUUCUUGUUUUCUAAAUUUUGUAUAUUGUAUCAAGAAAUGAGAAGAUUGAUAGUGUUAUUAGUGUUCUUGUUUUGCAAAAUUUGUAUAUGUUAUCAAGAAAUGAGAGGAUUGAUAGUGUUAUUAGUGUUCUUUUUGCUAAAUUUUGUAUAUUUAUACAGAAAUGAGAAGAUUGAUAGUGUUAUUAGUGUUCUUGUUUUGCUAAAUUUUGUAUAUUGUUAUCAAGAAAUGAGAAGAUUGAUAGUGUUAUUAGUGUUUUGUUUUGCUAAAUUUUGAUAUUGUUAUCAAGAAAUAGAAAGAUUGAUAGUGUUAUUAGUGUUCUUGUUUUGCUAAAUUUGUAUAUUGUUAUCAAAAUGAGAAGAUUGAUAGUGUUAUUAGUGUUUUGUUUUGCUAAAUUUUAUAUUGUUAUCAAGAAAUGAGAAGAUUGAUAGGUUAUUAGGUUUCGUUUUGCUAAAUUUUGUAUAUGUUAUCAAGAAAUGAGAAGAUUGAUAGGGUUAUUAUGUUCUUUUGUUUUGCUAAAUUUUGUAUAUUUAUCAAGAAAUAAGAAGAUUGAUAGUGUUAUUAGUGUUCUUGUUUUGCUAAAUUUUGUAUAUUGUUAUCAAGAAAUGAGAAGUUUGAUAGUGUUAUUAGUGUCUUGUUUUGCUAAAUUUGUAUAUUUUAUCAAGAAAUGAGAAGUUGAUAGUGUUAUUAGUGUUCUUGUUUUGUAAAUUUGUAUAUGUUAUCAAGAAAUGAGAAGAUUGAUAGUGUUAUUAGUGUUCUUGUUUUGCUAAAAUUUGUAUAUGUUAUCAGAAAUGAGAAGAUUGAUAUUGUUAUUAGUGUUCUUGUUUUGCUAAAUUUGUAUAUUGUUAUCAAGAAAUGAGAAGAUUGAUAGUGUUAUUAGUGUUCUUGUUUGCUAAAUUUUGUAUAUUGUUAUCAAGAAAUGAGAAGAUUGAUAGUGUUAUUAGUGUUCUUGUUUUGCUAAAUUUUGUUUAUUGUUUAUCAAGAAAUGAGAAGAUUGAUAGUGUUAUUAGUGUUCUUGUUUUGCUAAAUUUUAUAUUGUUAUCAAGAAAUAGAAGAUUGAUAGUGAUUAGUGUUUUUUUUGCUAAAUUUUGUAUAUUGUUAUCAAGAAAUGAGAAGAUUGAUAGUGUUAUUAGUGUUCUGUUUUUCUAAAUUUUAUAUUGUUAUCAAGAAAUGAGAAGAUUGAUAGUGUUAUUAGUUCUUGUUUUGCUAAAUUUUGUAUAUUGUUAUCAAGAAAUGAGAAGAUUGAUAGUUAUUAGUGUUCUUGUUUUGCUAAAUUUUGUAUAUUGUUAUCAAGAAAUGAGAAGAUUGAUAGUGUUAUUAGUGUUCUUUUUUCUAAAUUUUGUAUAUUUUAUCAGAAAAGAGAAGAUUGAUAGUGUUAUUAUGUUCUUGUUUUGUAAAUUGUAUAUUUUAUCAAGAAAUGAGAAGAUUGAUAGUGUUAUUAGUGUUCUUGUUUUCUAAAUUUGUAUAUUGUUAUCAAGAAAUGAGAAGAUUGAAUAUGUUAUUAGUUCUUGUUUGCAAAAUUUGUAUAUUGUUAUCAAGAAAUGAGAGAUUGAUAUGUUAUUAUGUUCUUUUUUGCAAAUUUGUAUAUUAACAAGAACAUGAGAAGAUUGAUAGUGUUAUUAGUGUUCUUGUUUUGCUAAAUUAUGUAUAUUGUUAUCAAGAAAUGAGAAGAUUGAUAUUGUUAUUAGUGUUCUUGUUUUGCUAAAUUUUAUAAAUUGUUAUCAAGAAAUGAGAAGAUUGAUAGUGUUAUUAGUGUUCUUGUUU
RNAcentral lists this long non-coding RNA (20461 nucleotides) under Lathyrus oleraceus (garden pea). RNAcentral describes it as "Pisum sativum (pea) long non-coding RNA (PSAT_LNC039456)". The record is from RNAcentral. Lineage: Eukaryota; Viridiplantae; Streptophyta; Magnoliopsida; Fabales; Fabaceae.